UCAGAAAGAUCAAAGUUACAGGUGAAUGCCCAUGAUUUAAAUGGAAAUCUGAGGGAAUGAAGCAAGGACCUGUUGGAGCACCCAUGGGAAGAACCUGGGGCACAAAAGAGGAAAGCAGCAAGAGACUGACAGAGAUUGUCUCCCUAGAAACCUGGACCACGAAAAGGAGGUGGAGAGGAGAAAACUCUGUGCUAAAUAUUACUCCUGGAAAAGUGCAUUUGCUUCGGAGAAAUCUUUAUCAUGGGUCUCUAAGAGGAAGGAACAAUAGCAUCUUCUAUGUGCCGAGGUAGCGCAAUAAUGAACUCUGUUCAAGUGGAUCAAAAGCCAUCAAGGUCAAAAUUAGGCACAGGGCUGUACAGGAAGCGUGAUUCUGGCAUCUGUUUGGUUUCUGGGAAGGCCUCAGGAAACUUAAAGUCAUGGAAGAAGGGGAAGGGAGAGCAGGCACGUCUUACAUGACCAAAGCAGGAAGAAGAGAGAGAAGUGUGGAGGUGCUAUACACUUUUAAACAGCCAGAUCUUGUGAGAACUCUGUCAGAAGAACAGCACUAGGGAAAUGGUGCUAAACCAUUCUUGGGGACUCCAUCCCUGUGAUACAAUCACCUCCCACCAGGCCCCACCUCCAACACUGAGAAUUACAACUCAACAUGAGAUUUGGAUGGGGACACAGAUCCAAACCAUAUCAAAUUUUCACACCUUUCAGUAAAGCUUUAUAUUUUUUAAGGAUAUUUAAGUACUUGGAAGUAGAAGUAGAGAGUAAGGGGAAUAUUGUACAGCCAUCACAGCCUUUGUCUACUAAAGAAGUCAGUUUCAUGUGACAAAUGUUCAUUUUAAUAU
Molecule: long non-coding RNA, 833 nt
Filed under: Homo sapiens (human)
Lineage: Eukaryota; Metazoa; Chordata; Mammalia; Primates; Hominidae
Description: non-protein coding LINC00377:4
Source: RNAcentral